Macaca fascicularis (crab-eating macaque) is the source of this 148-nucleotide unclassified non-coding RNA. It matches the Rfam family "Metazoan signal recognition particle RNA". Rfam says of the family: The signal recognition particle (SRP) is a universally conserved ribonucleoprotein. It is involved in the co-translational targeting of proteins to membranes. Lineage: Eukaryota; Metazoa; Chordata; Mammalia; Primates; Cercopithecidae. The record is from Ensembl.
GCCAGGUGUGGUGGCAUGCGCCUGUAAUCCCAGCUACUUGGGAGGCUGAGGCAGGAGAAUCGCUUGAACCCGGGAGGCAGAGGGUGCAGUGAACCAAGAUCGCACCACUGCACUCCCGCCUGGGUGACAGAGCGAGACUCUGUCUCAA